GCAAGUUGUACGAGAAAGCUCUUCGGAGUGAGUAGAGUAGCGCACGGGUGAGUAACGCAUGGGAACGUACCUUUUGGUUGGGAAUAACCACGGGAAACUGUGGCUAAUACCGAAUAGUCUCGCAAGAGUAAAGAUGGCCUCUACUUGUAUGCUAUCGCCAAUAGAUCGGCCCAUGUCCCAUUAGCUUGUUGGUGAGGUAAAGGCUCACCAAGGCGACGAUCAAUAGCUGGUCUGAGAGGAUGAUC
Molecule: ribosomal RNA, 245 nt
Filed under: uncultured bacterium
Lineage: Bacteria
Description: partial 16S ribosomal RNA
Rfam family: Bacterial small subunit ribosomal RNA
Source: RNAcentral